UAGGGAAUCUUCGGCAAUGGGGGCAAACCCUGACCGAGCAACGCCGCGUGAGUGAAGAAGGUUUUCGGAUCGUAAAGCUCUGUUGUAAGAGAAGAACGUGUGUGAGAGUGGAAAGUUCACACAGUGACGGUAACUUACCAGAAAGGGACGGCUAACUACGUGCCAG
Molecule: ribosomal RNA, 166 nt
Filed under: uncultured bacterium
Lineage: Bacteria
Description: partial 16S rRNA
Rfam family: Bacterial small subunit ribosomal RNA
Source: RNAcentral